UGCGCAGGCGGUGGCUCAAGUCAGAUGUGAAAUCCCUAGGCUUAACCUGGGAAUUGCAUUUGAAACUAGGUCGCUAGAGUUUGGCAGAGGGGGGUGGAAUUCCACGUGUAGCAGUGAAAUGCGUAGAGAUGUGGAGGAACACCGAUGGCGAAGGCAGCCCCCUGGGCUAAAACUGACGCUCAUGCACGAAAGCGUGGGGAGCAAACAGGAUUAGAUACCCUGGUAGUCCACGCCCUAAACCAUGUCAACUAGUUGUCGGGAGAGCAAUCACUCGGUAACGCAGCUAACGCGUGAAGUUGACCGCCUGGGGAGUACGGUCGCAAGAUUAAA
This 330-nucleotide ribosomal RNA is filed under the name uncultured bacterium. RNAcentral's name for it is "bacterial SSU rRNA". It matches the Rfam family "Bacterial small subunit ribosomal RNA", at positions 568 to 898 of the family's 1533-position model. The record is from RNAcentral.